AUUUAAUUGAUUUUUUUUUGGGUUGAUUAAAAAUAUUUUUUUUAAUCAAUUCUGAAUAUGAAAGAAUUCAAUGAUUAUUUUCCAACAAAGCUAAUAUGUUUAGGAGAAACACUAAUGUUUAUCGAAUCGAGAGUUUCAACUACCAAGCAAGUGAAAUCAAAAUGAAAAUGAAAAAUCACUAGCUGCUUUUAUUCCCUAUUCCCAAUUCCCAAAUGAAAGAUCUAUGAUCUUAGCUUUGUUCUGCAAUUCUGUCUGAGUAAUCAAAUUAAUUAGCAGCCAAACAUACUUCAUAAAAUAUAGUCAGUUACAACGAUAGACCAUCUCUUUCUAUCAAAAGGAAAAAAAGAGACGA
Molecule: unclassified non-coding RNA, 352 nt
Filed under: Hevea brasiliensis (rubber tree)
Lineage: Eukaryota; Viridiplantae; Streptophyta; Magnoliopsida; Malpighiales; Euphorbiaceae
Source: RNAcentral